This 1337-nucleotide ribosomal RNA is filed under the name Salmonella enterica. RNAcentral's name for it is "partial 23S ribosomal RNA". It matches the Rfam family "Bacterial large subunit ribosomal RNA", at positions 1170 to 2405 of the family's 2925-position model. Lineage: Bacteria; Pseudomonadati; Pseudomonadota; Gammaproteobacteria; Enterobacterales; Enterobacteriaceae. The record is from RNAcentral.
AUGUAACGGGGCUAAACCAUGCACCGAAGCUGCGGCAGCGAACGUAUCACCCAAGACAACUUUACGGAGUUGACGAUUGACGGAGCGAAGCGACGUCAAAGCGUUCAUUAAAGUCGAGUUGGCUUAGGGAUACGUUCGUUGGGUAGGGGAGCGUUCUGUAAGCCUGUGAAGGUGUGUCGUGAGGCAUGCUGGAGGUAUCAGAAGUGCGAAUGCUGACAUAAGUAACGAUAAAGCGGGUGAAAAGCCCGCUCGCCGGAAGACCAAGGGUUCCUGUCCAACGUUAAUCGGGGCAGGGUGAGUCGACCCCUAAGGCGAGGCCGAAAGGCGUAGUCGAUGGGAAACGGGUUAAUAUUCCCGUACUUGGUGUUACUGCGAAGGGGGGACGGAGAAGGCUAUGUUGGCCGGGCGACGGUUGUCCCGGUUUAAGCGUGUAGGUGUGUGUUCCAGGUAAAUCCGGUUCACUUUAACACUGAGGCGUGACGACGAGGCACUACGGUGCUGAAGCAACAAAUGCCCUGCUUCCAGGAAAAGCCUCUAAGCAUCAGGUAACAUCAAAUCGUACCCCAAACCGACACAGGUGGUCAGGUAGAGAAUACCAAGGCGCUUGAGAGAACUCGGGUGAAGGAACUAGGCAAAAUGGUGCCGUAACUUCGGGAGAAGGCACGCUGACACGUAGGUGAAGUGAUUUACUCAUGGAGCUGAAGUCAGUCGAAGAUACCAGCUGGCUGCAACUGUUUAUUAAAAACACAGCACUGUGCAAACACGAAAGUGGACGUAUACGGUGUGACGCCUGCCCGGUGCCGGAAGGUUAAUUGAUGGGGUCAGCGCAAGCGAAGCUCCUGAUCGAAGCCCCGGUAAACGGCGGCCGUAACUAUAACGGUCCUAAGGUAGCGAAAUUCCUUGUCGGGUAAGUUCCGACCUGCACGAAUGGCGUAAUGAUGGCCAGGCUGUCUCCACCCGAGACUCAGUGAAAUUGAACUCGCUGUGAAGAUGCAGUGUACCCGCGGCAAGACGGAAAGACCCCGUGAACCUUUACUAUAGCUUGACACUGAACAUUGAGCCUUGAUGUGUAGGAUAGGUGGGAGGCUUUGAAGUGUGGACGCCAGUCUGCAUGGAGCCGACCUUGAAAUACCACCCUUUAAUGUUUGAUGUUCUAACGUGGACCCGUAAUCCGGGUUGCGGACAGUGUCUGGUGGGUAGUUUGACUGGGGCGGUCUCCUCCUAAAGAGUAACGGAGGAGCACGAAGGUUGGCUAAUCCUGGUCGGACAUCAGGAGGUUAGUGCAAUGGCAUAAGCCAGCUUGACUGCGAGCGUGACGGCGCGAGCAGGUGCGAAAG